AUGGCGCUGGGUGAGCCUUUUCCUGCUGCUACGCAUGAGGCGAUAACGAGCUCUGCCGCACUGGGAAUCAUUGUGUUGCGCGACACUGACAAAGAUAGCGUGGUGGUUCCCUUUUUCCCCAACAGCAGAAGUUGGUGCGGUUAUGUAAUGGUUGAAGUUCAGGAAUAUUUUUGUUGCCUUUUCAGAUUUUGUUUGGGCACAACACUGCGGUUCGCCUGGGUCGUCGUUGCGGUGCGGUUUGGUGUGCAGUCCACCGGUGAGGGUGCUUGCAGUGCUGUUGCGCGAUGCUCACAGUUUUGA
Molecule: ribosomal RNA, 300 nt
Filed under: Triticum aestivum (bread wheat)
Lineage: Eukaryota; Viridiplantae; Streptophyta; Magnoliopsida; Poales; Poaceae
Description: partial small subunit ribosomal RNA
Source: RNAcentral